CACUAGGAUCUUAACUUUUUAUGACAGUAUCUUGGAUACAAAAUAAUCUCUGAAUAAAUAUUUGAAAUCAUUAAUUAUGUUGAUUGUGUAGUAAACUCUAAAAUAGAAGUGGAAUGAAGUGUAAAAGUGUUCCUAUUUCUCCACAUCCUCUCCAGCACCUGUUAUUUCCUGACUUUUUAAUGAUUGCCAUUCUAACUGGUGUGAGAUGGUAUCUCAUUGUGGUUUUGAUUUGCAUUUCUCUAAUGGCCAGUGAUGAUGAGCAUUUUUUCAUGUGUUUUUUGGCUGUAUAAUGGACAGUUUUUAUUUGAGGGCUGAGAGAAAUUUUGAGAGAAUUAUCCAGAGCAGAAAAGAUUUUAUUUAAAGAAUGCCUUCUUAAAAGUUGUGAUUCUACAAUUUCUCAUGUAAAGUCUUCCUAAGGUUUAUCAGCUGCUCUCUGUCAGGAAAAUCGUGUAAAAUUUUUCAUCUAAGUAUCCCAUCUUGCACAUCUAA
RNAcentral lists this long non-coding RNA (489 nucleotides) under Pan troglodytes (chimpanzee). Its description in RNAcentral is "long non-coding RNA NONPTRT013270". Lineage: Eukaryota; Metazoa; Chordata; Mammalia; Primates; Hominidae. The record is from RNAcentral.